This 670-nucleotide long non-coding RNA is filed under the name Mus caroli (Ryukyu mouse). RNAcentral describes it as "lncRNA (MGP_CAROLIEiJ_G0003929.1)". Lineage: Eukaryota; Metazoa; Chordata; Mammalia; Rodentia; Muridae. The record is from RNAcentral.
AGGUGAAGGAGGAAGAGCGAGAGUGGAGGCCAAGCCGGCUCUAGGCGGCUGAAUCCGGGCCGUUGNUACCCCUUUCUUUCUUCUGCACCACUCUAAGGGGUCAGGCGGGUCUGGUGCCAGAAGGAAAAAAACAUGGCAACAGUUCUAGCGAAGUCCGUGAGCAACGGCUUGAUUUCCCCAGUACUGGAGACUCGGUCUUCAUAAGAAAGAUUCAGCACAAGGUUGUCAGCUGUGAGAUAGAUUCGGUUCUGUGAUGUGGCGAUCUACAGGAUACGGAAUAGACGCAUUAACAGAGGCUUCAAGUCUUUGAUUCAAUGGCCACUCAGUGGAAGACACAGUAACAGAACAGGCUCCUGCUCUAGUACAAAGACCCGAUGCAAGAAGCCUUGGUGUCAUAGCUCUGUAACAGCCAUAAACAAAACCUGGGGAGCACUGUGGGGUCGGUCACUCUGCAGGAGGAAGGGUGCCCAAGGACAUUGUUUAAGUAGAAACUCAAGCCAGUUCUAAUGCCACUGUGUGACUGUGUAGCUGAAUACUUUCAACCUCAANCAGCAGCCCUUGGAUGGUGAAGCCUUCCACUCACCGUCUUAGAGAUGUUCUGGGCGGCCCGGAUCUUUCGGAGCUUGAUAUAGCCAGGAUUCUUGCUCAGUGCUUCUCCAAGGUGAGCAGA